Molecule: long non-coding RNA, 580 nt
Filed under: Calidris pygmaea (Spoon-billed sandpiper)
Lineage: Eukaryota; Metazoa; Chordata; Aves; Charadriiformes; Scolopacidae
Description: lncRNA (ENSCPGG00000014739.1)
Source: RNAcentral
GUGAAUAUUGUACUUAUUCUGAACACGAAGAAAGCUUGCUCUCCUAGAGUUAUACUGCACUUCAUGAAAUAACGUUUUGAUCUUUGUUUUUCAACUCAGUGACUACUAGACCCAAUCUCUGCACAAGGAAAAUGCCAUUUAUUAUCUUCCCUUUUACCCUGGGGAAAGUGACUGAAACAAGUGGAUUUUACAGUUGCCUUGAUUUACUCUUGACAGAGCUGCUCUUGAGUCCAUCUGGGAUAAGGAACAUGCAACUUAUCCUGGCCUGUCAGGUCAUUCAGAAAAAUGCUCUUCUGGCAGCUGUUCAGCAAGCCUCCCUUUGUUACUUGGUCCAGCCUCCCCAUACCCUGGACAUCAAGGAAGGAAAUGUAAAUCUAACAAGUUGGAGCAGCUCAGCAAGUGGAAGAAAUUCGGUGUCUGGGAGUGAAACAGAGGAUCAGCUGCUGUAAGCAACCACACCGGACACUUCAUUUUUUCCUGGGCCUUCUCCAAGUUUACUCUGUACCAUUAAAAGGUAUUUGUUACAGACUCGGCCAAGCCCCCUCCAACUGGGUAGGGGUCAGUCUGGCACGUGUGCGAA